AUGAACGCUGGCGGCGUGCUUAACACAUGCAAGUCGCACGGUGAAGGCGGAGCUUGCUCUGCUGGAUCAGUGGCGAACGGGUGAGUAACACGUGAGCAAUCUGCCCCUGACUCUGGGAUAAGCGCUGGAAACGGCGUCUAAUACUGGAUACGAGCUGCGAAGGCAUCUUCAGCAGCUGGAAAGAAUUUCGGUCAGGGAUGAGCUCGCGGCCUAUCAGCUUGUUGGUGAGGUAAUGGCUCACCAAGGCGUCGACGGGUAGCCGGCCUGAGAGGGUGACCGGCCACACUGGGACUGAGACACGGCCCAGACUCCUACGGGAGGCAGCAGUGGGGAAUAUUGCACAAUGGGCGAAAGCCAGAUGCAGCAACGCCGCGUGAGGGACGACGGCCUUCGGGUUGUAAACCUCUUUUAGCAGGGAAGAAGCGAAAGUGACGGUACCUGCAGAAAAAGCGCCGGCUAACUACGUG
This 467-nucleotide ribosomal RNA is filed under the name uncultured bacterium. Its description in RNAcentral is "partial 16S ribosomal RNA". It matches the Rfam family "Bacterial small subunit ribosomal RNA", at positions 29 to 507 of the family's 1533-position model. The record is from RNAcentral.